Molecule: ribosomal RNA, 1505 nt
Filed under: metagenome
Description: bacterial LSU rRNA
Rfam family: Bacterial large subunit ribosomal RNA
Source: RNAcentral
AGUGAUCAGAAGUGAGAAUGUUGACAUGAGUAGCGACAAACAGGGUGAGAGACCCUGUCGCCGAAAGUCCAAGGGUUCCUGCUUAAAGCUAAUCUGAGCAGGGUAAGCCGGCCCCUAAGGCGAGGCCGAAAGGCGUAGUCGAUGGGAACCAGGUUAAUAUUCCUGGGCCAGGAGAUGGUGACGGAUCCCAGAGGUAGUUCAUCCUUAUCGGAUUGAAUGGGCUGCUGAGGGGUUCCUGGAAAUAGCCCUCCAUGAGACCGUACCCUAAACCGACACAGGUGGACUGGUAGAGAAUACCAAGGCGCUUGAGAGAACCACAUUUAAGGAACUCGGCAAAAUACCUCCGUAAGUUCGCGAGAAGGAGGCCCCGUUCGUAGGCAACUAUGGGCGGGGGGCACAAACCAGGGGGUGGCGACUGUUUACUAAAAACACAGGGCUCUGCGAAGUCGCAAGACGACGUAUAGGGUCUGACGCCUGCCCGGUGCCGGAAGGUUAAAAGGAGAUGUGCAAGCAUUGAAUUGAAGCCCCGGUAAACGGCGGCCGUAACAAUAACGGUCCUAAGGUAGCGAAAUUCCUUGUCGGGUAAGUUCCGACCUGCACGAAUGGCGUAACGACUUCCCCGCUGUCUCAAAUGUGGACUCAGCGAAAUUGAAUUGUCUGUGAAGAUGCAGACUUCCCGCGGUUAGACGGAAAGACCCCAUGCACCUUUACUAUAGCUUCGCACUGGCAUCAGGAUUGUGAUGUGCAGGAUAGGAGGUAGGCUUUGAAAUCGGGACGCCAGUUCCGAUGGAGCCAUCCUUGAGAUACCGCCCUUCGCACUCUUGAUGUCUAACCGCGGUCCGUUAUCCGGAUCCGGGACCCUGCGUGGUGGGUAGUUUGACUGGGGCGGUCGCCUCCUAAAGAGUAACGGAGGCGCGCGAAGGUUGGCUCAGAGCGGUCGGAAAUCGCUCGUUGAGUGCAAUGGCAGAAGCCAGCCUGACUGCAAGACUGACAAGUCGAGCAGAGUCGAAAGACGGCCAUAGUGAUCCGGUGGUCCCGAGUGGAAGGGCCAUCGCUCAACGGAUAAAAGGUACGCUGGGGAUAACAGGCUGAUGAUGCCCAAGAGUCCAUAUCGACGGCAUCGUUUGGCACCUCGAUGUCGGCUCAUCUCAUCCUGGGGCUGGAGCAGGUCCCAAGGGUACGGCUGUUCGCCGUUUAAAGAGGUACGUGAGCUGGGUUUAGAACGUCGUGAGACAGUUCGGUCCCUAUCUGCCGUGGGUGUAGGAUACUUGAGAGGAGUUGCCCCUAGUACGAGAGGACCGGGGUGAACGUUCCACUGGUGGACCAGUUGUCGUGCCAACGGCAGUGCUGGGUAGCUAUGAACGGACAGGAUAAACGCUGAAGGCAUCUAAGCGUGAAGCCCCCCUCAAAACCAGGUAUCCCUUGAGAGCCGUGGAAGACCACCACGUCGAUAGGCCGGAGAUGUAAGCGCAGCAAUGCGUUCAGUUGACCGGUACUAACGGCUC